RNAcentral lists this transfer RNA (90 nucleotides) under Rhodospirillales bacterium. Its description in RNAcentral is "tRNA-Ser". It matches the Rfam family "tRNA". Rfam says of the family: Transfer RNA (tRNA) molecules are approximately 80 nucleotides in length. Their secondary structure includes four short double-helical elements and three loops (D, anti-codon, and T loops). RNAcentral also lists the same sequence under 1 other name. Lineage: Bacteria; Pseudomonadati; Pseudomonadota; Alphaproteobacteria; Rhodospirillales. The record is from RNAcentral.
GGAUGGGUGCCCGAGUGGUUUAAGGGACCGGUCUUGAAAACCGGCAGGGGUUAACCCCCCUCGUGGGUUCGAAUCCCACCCCAUCCGCCA